UCUCGCCUGCCACGCGGGAGGCCCGGGU
This 28-nucleotide non-coding RNA is filed under the name Gallus gallus (chicken). RNAcentral also lists the same sequence under 6 other names. The record is from RNAcentral. Lineage: Eukaryota; Metazoa; Chordata; Aves; Galliformes; Phasianidae.